Molecule: ribosomal RNA, 1516 nt
Filed under: Proteus penneri
Lineage: Bacteria; Pseudomonadati; Pseudomonadota; Gammaproteobacteria; Enterobacterales; Morganellaceae
Description: bacterial SSU rRNA
Rfam family: Bacterial small subunit ribosomal RNA
Source: RNAcentral
GCACUUUGCCAGCGGUCUAAACAUGCAAGUCGAGCGGUAACAGGAGAAAGCUUGCUUUCUUGCUGACGAGCGGCGGAAGGGAGAGUAAUGUAUGGGGAUCUGCCCGAUAGAGGGGGAUAACUACUGGAAACGGUAUCUAAUACCGCAUGAUGUCUACAGACCAAAGCGGGGGCUCUUCGGACCUUGCUCUAUCAGAUGAACCCAUCUGGGAUUACGUCUAGUAGGUGAGGUAAUCGGCUCACCUAGGCGACGAUCUCUAUCUGGUCUGAGAGCGAUGAUCAGUCACACUGGGACUGACACACGGCCCUGACUCCUACGGGAGGCAGCAGUGGGGAAUAUUGCACAAUGGGCGCAAGCCUGAUGCAGCCAUGCCGCGUGUAUGGAGGAUGCCUUAGGGUUGUAAAGUACUUUCAGUCGGGGAGGAAGGUGAUAAAGUUAAUAUCCUUAUCGAUUGACGUUACCGGCAGAAGAAGCACCGGCUUACUCCGUGCCAGCACGCGCGGUAAUACGGAGGGGUGCCAGCGUUAAUCGGAAUUACUGGGCGUAAAGCGCACGCGGGCGGUCUAUUAAGUCAUAUGUGAAAUCCCCGAGCUUAACUUGGGAAUUGCAUCUGAAACUGGUUGGCUAGAGUCUUGUAGAGGGGGGUAGAAUUCCAUGUGUAGCGGUGAAAUGCGUAGAGAUGUGGAGGAAUACCGGUGGCGAAGGCGGCCCCCUGGACAAAGACUGACGCUCCGGUGCGAAAGCGUGGGGAGCACACGGGAUUAUAUACCCUGGUAGUCCACGCUGUAAACUAUGUUGAUUUCGAGGUUGGUGCUCUUGAACCGUGCGCUUUUGGAGACUAACGCUUUAUAUACGACCGCCUGGGGAGUACGGCCGGGGGGGUUGGGACUUAUAUAUAUUUUACGGGGGCCCCGCCCGCCGCGGUGGAGCGUGUGGUUUAAUAUCGAUCGCAACGGGAGAGAACACUUACCUACUUCUUUACAUCGAGAGAAUCCUUUAGAAUGAAUAUAUACAGGUGUUUUUUCUGGAACUUUGAAGACAGGUAGCUGCGUGGUUUGUCGUCAUUUCUUUUUGAAUGUGUGAAAAUAUUUUGGGUUAACGUGCCGCAACUUUAGCGCACCCCUUGUCUUGGUUGUUGGUCGGCGGGUAGCAUCGUCGGGGGGGAACUCAAAUUAGGCAGACUGACCGGCGUGGGUUAGACCGGAGGAUGUGUGGUGUUGAUGUCAUAUUCAUCACUGGCUCCUUACGAGUAGUUUGGCUAGCACACGUGCUACAAUGGCGGAUACAAAGAGAAGCGACCUCGCGAGAGCAAGCGGAACUCAUAAAGUCCGUCGUAGUCCGGAUUGGAGUCUGCAACUCGACUCCAUGAAGUCGGAAUCGCUAGUAAUCGUAGAUCAGAAUGCUACGGUGAAUACGUUCCCGGGCCUUGUACACACCGCCCGUCACACCAUGGGAGUGGGUUGCAAAAGAAGUAGGUAGCUUAACCUUCGGGAGGGCGCUACCACUUUGAUAUGGU